GCACUGGUGGUUCAGUGGUAGAAUUCUCGCCUGCUACGCGGGAGACCCGGGUUCGAUUCCCGGCCAGUGCA
Nematostella vectensis (starlet sea anemone) is the source of this 71-nucleotide non-coding RNA. The record is from Rfam. Lineage: Eukaryota; Metazoa; Cnidaria; Anthozoa; Actiniaria; Edwardsiidae.